UACGGAAGGUGCAAGCGUUAAUCGGAAUUACUGGGCGUAAAGCGUACGUAGGCGGUAACGUGUGUCGGAUGUGAAAGCCCUGGGCUCAACCUGGGAAUUGCAUUCGAAACUGCGUAACUAGAGUGUGGUAGAGGAAGGUGGAAUUCCACGUGUAGCGGUGAAAUGCGUAGAUAUGUGGAGGAACACCGAUGGCGAAGGCAGCCUUCUGGGCCAACACUGACGCUGAGGUACGAAAGCGUGGGGAGCAAACAGG
Molecule: unclassified non-coding RNA, 253 nt
Filed under: Salinisphaeraceae bacterium
Lineage: Bacteria; Pseudomonadati; Pseudomonadota; Gammaproteobacteria; Salinisphaerales; Salinisphaeraceae
Also listed under: 1 other name
Description: partial 16S ribosomal RNA
Rfam family: Bacterial small subunit ribosomal RNA
Source: RNAcentral